Molecule: non-coding RNA, 242 nt
Organism: Pelobates cultripes (western spadefoot toad)
Lineage: Eukaryota; Metazoa; Chordata; Amphibia; Anura; Pelobatidae
Source: the annotation of a GenBank genome assembly
AUUUGUAAACUUUUUAAAACCCUGCCCCCCUCUACAAAAUCCCUGCACCCCCUCACACACAGUUACAGGCAGACAGUCACACACAGUUACAAGCAGUCACACGCACACAGUCACAUGCAGACCGUCACACAUAUAGUCACAGGCAGUCAUACACACAGUUACAGGUAGAGAGUUACACACAAACACAGUCAGUUACAAGCAGUUGCACACAAUCACGCACACUGUUACAGGCAGACAGUCAC